GACGAACGCUGGCGGCGUGCUUAACACAUGCAAGUCGAACGGAAAGGCCCUGCUUUUGUGGGGUGCUCGAGUGGAGAACGGGUGAGUAACACGUGAGUAACCUGCCCUUGACUUUGGGAUAACUUCAGGAAACUGGGGCUAAUACCGGAUAGGAGCUCCUGCUGCAUGGUGGGGGUUGGAAAGUUUCGGCGGUUGGGGAUGGACUCGCGGCUUAUCAGCUUGUUGGUGGGGUUGUGGCGUACCAAGGCUUUGACGGGUAGCCGGCCUGAGAGGGUGACCGGCCACAUUGGGACUGAGAUACGGCCCAGCCUCCUCCGGGAGGGAGCAGUGGGGAAUAUUGCACUAUGGGCGGGAGCCUGAUGCAGCAACGCCGCGUGCGGGAUGACGGCCUUCGGGUUGUAAACCGCUUUCGCCUGUGACGAAGCGUGAGUGACGGUAAUGGGUAAAGAAGCACCGGCUAACUACGUG
Molecule: ribosomal RNA, 468 nt
Filed under: uncultured bacterium
Lineage: Bacteria
Description: partial 16S ribosomal RNA
Rfam family: Bacterial small subunit ribosomal RNA
Source: RNAcentral